Molecule: RNA transcript, 2810 nt
Organism: Dunckerocampus dactyliophorus (ringed pipefish)
Lineage: Eukaryota; Metazoa; Chordata; Actinopteri; Syngnathiformes; Syngnathidae
Gene: mrps27
Gene name: mitochondrial ribosomal protein S27
Exons: 12
Source: RefSeq, a predicted model, not a curated record
GAAGUAGUGUCGUCCAAAGAUGGCCGCCCCCAUGUUUAAACGCUGCCUGACUGCUACUGUCAAAGUUAAACAUCUAUCACCCUCUUUUCCGGCAAGAAGAUGGUUACUUUCAACAGCGUAUUCAGACACUAAAGCGUGGGAGGCAAGAGAGAAGAACCCUCAGAAUUUGGCUGUCCUGGCCAAUAAUAUGGACAGAGUAUAUGGCAGGAAUCUUCCAGUCAGCUCUCUGACGAUGUCACAGUUUGUAGACAACAUAUCAUGCCGCGAGGAGGUUGACCAAGCAGAGUACUACCUUUACAAGUUUCGUCACAGUCCAAAUUGUUGGUACCUUCGAGACUGGACCAUUCACAGCUGGAUCAGACAGUGUCUUAAAUAUGGCGCCAGAGAUAAGGCCCUGCACACACUUAAAAACAAGGUCCAGUAUGGAAUCUUUCCAGAUAAUUUCACCUUUAACCUGCUUAUAGAUUCUUACCUGAAGGAUGAGGACCUAAAAAGUGCAUUCUCCGUGGUGGAAGAGGUGAUGCUCCAGGAGUCUUUUGACCUUUCCUCCACCCAGAUCCUGUCGCUGUAUGUGCUUGGCAAUUACCUAGCAACCGCACACCAAUUGACUAUGUCAGAGGAGAGAGCAUUGGGAGCAUCGCUACUCAUCUGUGGCUUCAAACAAGACAACAGCGUCGGUCUCACUGCUCAGCUACUGGGAAACACUCUGCUGGGCAAAGUGGAGAUGCAGAACGGCAUCCACGCUGUGUUCAAGGGCAUGCCUCUUCUCUGGACACGAGGAUAUCUGGGCCGAGCACUGGCUGUCAUGGAGAACGUCAUCGCAUCGCCCGGUGAUGUCAAACUGCCCAAAGACUCGUUGCAUUUUGUGAGUGAGGUGCUGCAGCAACUGUCUUCAGUGUCCUCUGACUCGUCUGGAGAGGAGUCGGACAAGGAGGAAGAGCAGAAACUGGAAACAGUCGAUGAAGAUGAUCAGGCGGAAAGAGAAAGACUGUCCAAAUAUGAGAGCAGAUUCAAGGAUUUGAUCGGUCAGCUGGAAGCUCAGGGAAAAAUCGACUCUGAGGCCAACUUCCGGUCUCUGGUGACCAGUCUGGCCAAGCAGCAGUUGCCCUCCGCCGAGAGACCGGACCUAGAUCAGUACGAGAGUAUGCUGCUGGCCUGGGAGGCUGACAGGAGGCAGCUGAUCCAGAGGGAGCAGGAGAUGAGGAGUAAGGCCGAGGAGGAGAAUCGGCAGCGUCUGAUUGCCAGAGCAGACCUACAGGAAGCGCAAUAAGUUGUAUUAAUAAUAUGCAUAUGUUUUUUUUUAACAUUUCUUGUGGGCUAAAAUUAAAAGAAAAUGUAAUUAGUGGCGUCAAUUGUGUAACCUCUUUUUCAUAAGUAGGACAAAAAAAGGAGACUGUUGGGAUCACAUCCUCCCAUUGCUUUUCCUGUGUGCUGGGGAGUUUUCUCACAGGGGUAAAGAAAGGGGAAUUGCACGGAAGAAUUUCCUGAUAACUAAUCUGCAGAAAGGGAAUUAUUUGCUUGCAUAGGGAGACCAUUGAUGAGAGGUGAGCACAUUAUAUGGUGUUGAUAAAAUGCAUGAAGCCAGAAAGACGAUCCUACCCGUAUAAAACAUGAAGCGCUUCACUUGGUGACAGAGAAUCCCUAACUGUUUAGAUGUAAAAGAUAACAAAUCCCAUGUGGGAAAAACAACAACGCAUCUUAGGUUGUGUUAUUUAGAAUUCAGAAUUCCUUUUGUAUUCACCUGGAUGUAUUCAAAUGUCAAGACCCAGAAAUAAUAUGUCAUGUUGUCCUAAGACUUUUGCACAGUACUGUCUCGAAAAACGAGUGUUGCAUCAUUUGCAACCCUGGGCCUGGGCGGAGAUAUAGGAGACUUUGUGAAAGUUAAAUAAAUAGGAGAAAAUGGAUGUUUUUAUGGGCUUGGAUACAGGCCCCUGUGUGCUGCUGUGAGACAUUCACUACACCAGGAAAUUGUAUUGCCAGCUGAUAUUCCAGCUGGUUAGACAUAUUAACCACGGAGCCAGCACUUUCUUAUCAACACUUUUGUACUGUACAUCAUGUUCUUUUUUUUUUUUUUUUUGCUGAAUGUUAUAGUCAUGUCACAAAAGUGUUGAGGUCUAGCUGACCACAUCGUGGCCACUGCAUAUUUUAUUUCUCACCAAGGUCAACUGCUUCAUCUACUCCCUUUUUAAACUGAUUAGCAAUAAUGUUUAUUUUUGUCUGUCUUAUUUGUUUGCAGGGAGAUGAGCAUAGCAUUUGUCCUGACAGGGGCUUAUUGCACGUUUAUUCAAUAUAGAAAUGAAUUAGACAAGCUUGAGGUUAUAAUUGGGAAUUGGAUUUAGUGUCUCAUUCAGUUUGUGUGCACAUUGGAAAAAAUUUAAUAUGAUUUGUUUGUAAUCUAAGUUGUCAUACAAAGACCUUCAUUUAUUCCAUUUUCAAUUUUUUUUUAAGCGCACUUGUCUGCAACUUACCAUGCCUUUAUGUUGUUUGGGUUUCCGGCAUUACUCAUGACCUUUCAAUACGAUAAGUUUCUUUUCUGUAUUUGGGGGGGUUCAUAACUGAUCCACAUUUAGUUCUGAUGUAAUGUUUUCCCCCAGCCACCCUAACAUGAAGGAGCAGCGCUGCAUGUAUUGCUUCUAAAAGCAAAAUGCAAUGACUCCCCUGAUUACUUUACACCACUGUAAUCUCAUGUCAUCAUUUAAUCACGAUAGUUUUCGAAGAACCAAUGCAGCCCUUCCAAAAAAAAAAACGAGCUUGUGGGGAACCCUGAUAACCAGAUUUCAGGAAGAAGCGGGAAAAAGACGUGAAGUGUG